GACGAACGCUGGCGGCAGGCCUAACACAUGCAAGUCGAACGCACCUUCGGGUGAGUGGCGGACGGGUGAGUAACACGUGGGAACGUGCCCUUUGGUACGGAACAACUGAGGGAAACUUCAGCUAAUACCGUAUGUGCCCCCAUUCUUAGCGGGAUGGACGGGAAAGAUUUAUCGCCAUUGGAGCGGCCCGCGUUGGAUUAGGUAGUUGGUGGGGUAAAGGCCUACCAAGCCGACGAUCCAUAGCUGGUCUGAGAGGAUGAUCAGCCACACUGGGACUGAGACACGGCCCAGACUCCUACGGGAGGCAGCAGUGGGGAAUCUUGCGCAAUGGGCGAAAGCCUGACGCAGCCAUGCCGCGUGAAUGAUGAAGGUCUUAGGAUUGUAAAAUUCUUUCACCGGGGAAGAUAAUGACGGUACCCGGAGAAGAAGCCCCGGCUAACUUCGUGCCAGCCGCCGCAGUAA
Molecule: ribosomal RNA, 462 nt
Filed under: uncultured bacterium
Lineage: Bacteria
Description: partial 16S ribosomal RNA
Rfam family: Bacterial small subunit ribosomal RNA
Source: RNAcentral